AGGCGGGGCACGGCGCUGGGCGGCCCGGAACCCGCAGGUUUCCCGCCCACGCCGAGGCCAGGCCUUAAAAUCCCCCCGCCCCCGCCCCCGGCCGAGCCUCAUGCCCCUCCCCCGGGGUGUCCGCCCCCGCCUCCACCCGCGAGCGCCCGGGCAGGGAGGGGACCAGGGGCCCCGCGAGGGCGGCGGCGGCGGCGGCGGCGCGCAGGCAGGGCCUGGUCGGUGUCAUGGCCGCGUCCCGGCUGCCUCCGGCGGCGCUGACGCUGAAGCAGUUCUUGAGAAGGCAACAGGUUCUUCAGUUAUACAGAAGAAUUCUGCAGGCUAUUCGUCAGGUACCUACCGAAACUGAUCGGCACUAUCUAAAGGAGUGGGCAAGGGAAGAAUUCAAAAGAAAUAAAGAUGCAACAGAUGAGGAUGCAAUUAGGAUGAUGAUUACUCAGGGCAACAUGCAGCUUCAGGAGCUUGAGAGAACACUUCAGCUGGCAAACUCCUAACCUUAAUUCUGAGAGUCAAUGGACUUUCAUCCACUGUGAGAAGUACAGUACUUUCUCCAGGAUGCAGCACCUCGUCUUAUGCAAAGAUACUGGAUUUUAAACUUAUAAAACUGUAAAUGACUUCUGAUCAGUCGCCUAUGAAAAGUGAAUUUGUAGCCUUGUUCCAGACCACAUCACAAAACCUACCCAAAAAUAUUGUUGGUAUUCUCAGUGAAAAACUAGCUAUGGCCUGAAUGGGCAUGGAAACAGAGCUACCCUCUCUGCCAUGAGAUGUUUCCUCCAGGACACAGCAGAAGCAGUAAAAUGGGAUCUGUCCCCAUGACACAAUUCUUCUUUCAAAUUAUCUGGCCAGUUAGUGUAAAUUGGACAAUCCACUUUGAAAAUGGCUUGAGUUCAUUUUGAAGUAAGUUAGUGCAGAAGAAGGUUUGUGUGGACACAUCUGCAUUCUAGAUUAAUUUUUCAGUCCCUCCGAUGGUAUCCCUGACUGCAUUGCUUCACUCCGUGCUGGCUGACAGCAGUUUGAAAAUGGGCUGACUUGCAAAAGACAUGAACCAUGGGAGACGGGAAAAGGAAUCCUGGAAAUCUGCUGCUGUGAACCCCAAGUCACAGAAUUCUAGUGGCUUCAGGUAGGUAUCCUAUAAUGCACCAUCAGAAUAAUCCCAGAAUACAUAGAGCCCAGCAGUGGGACAAAGCACCAUGGGAUAUCUGCCUGAUAUGUUGAGAGCUUAUUUCAAAAGAAGUCAGUGCUGCAUAUGCAUACUGAUGAAGAGGGAAGUGUGUAAGUAAAAGCCAUAUGGAUGCAAUUAUUUCGGAAUAGUUAUUCCACAGCUGUUAAUGUGCACAAACUUAAUCCAAAAGCACACACCCACACACACAUGUAGACAAAUCCUUAGAAUAUUUGUUUUGCUGGUCUUUGUCGUUGAGCCUGCAGUAGGUUUGCUUGGAUCUGAAAAUGUGAUUACCUCAAGUAAAAGGGUUUUAGGCAUUAUCAGGCUCACUGCUUCUUUUUCAUUCUCCUCCCAAUUAUUCUCCUUUUCAUGUCUCACCUACUGCUCAAACACCAGUCAUCGCUUGCACAUUUUGAAUUGGAAGAACUCUUAGAGGAGUCUUAAAUCUUUGAUUCAACAUUACUGUGUACUGCAGUUCUGAAUACAAGUCUCUGAACUGUAGCAGGCAUUACAGGUUUUUUUUUUCUCUGAACAAAGUUAAAUGAAGAGAUUUUUUCCCUUGGGUUAUUCUCUGAAGAACAUGUACAGUUCUUUCAUUAUUAUCUGUUAGAAGUGUAAAUUUGAGCAGCAAGGCAGAGAAAUGCAGCAAGGCAGCAGUUUGGUAGAAAUUCACAAAAAUUACAGAGGAAGCACAGGGAGCUUAGAGCGAGUGGACCUGGCUCCUGCUCCUAUUGAAUGGCAAAACUCCCAUUGACUUCAGUGACAGGGACUGGACUCAAGUUGUACUGAUUUGGAAAAAGACACCUCUGAUUUCCCAGCCUCCUAAAUGUGACCGGAAAGGUACAGACUGUUCACAGAUGUAAAAACGCUAGUACUGAUCUCACAGAAUAAUGUUUAUCAGACUCAGGAUUUUUUGUUAAGCCAACUUGUCUGAAGACAGCAACCUGACUCUCAAAUUUGGUUGCCAGAGAAGAAAAUAUGUCUGUCCUAACAUUUUGGAUCAAGAAGGGAUAUCAGAAAUCACUUGUGUUGUAUGUAUGUUAUUGUCUCUCCCCUCAAAUGCAAGCUGUUGAUCUGAACCUGACCUGCACUUAAAAUCUUGAGUGGACUGACUGGUACAUCCCACUUAAGGCUGGAAAUGAAAGCUAGCCUCUAAUCAUUGUCUCUUUAUAAAUAUUAGUGGAUGGCAGUUGUGUUCAAUCCUGUACCAUAGGGAGAACGCAUAUAUAAUUAGCCACAUGCUCUUAUCCUGAAAUGCAACAUGAACUGAAAUUAACCAUGAGAAGGAAUUAAAUAAAGUAUCAGUCUGGGUAGGCAAAUAAUCCAUUUCUUCUGCUGUUUGGUAGCUUGCAUAAAUUAACUGAGUCUAGAGGCCAAAUCCAUUCUCCUCUACAGGGUAAUGUGUCAUUCAGUCAAGACACCCUGGAUUCUCAGGUGUAGACUAGCAGCUUGUCGACUGGCAAUAAGUAAUUAUCAUUUGUCAGGUUGUCCUGGCUGUCAAGCAAUCUGAUUUUUCCUAGUAGAAAAAUGUUUAUAACAGGACCUUGUCAGAGCCUAAACCCUGACUGCUGCUAUGCUUGGUAUUUUGUCAUGCUGUCUGAAUUACUGUGUUGAAUCUUCAGGAGCAUAAGAAGUUGAGAAACAUCCAAAGAAGCCAGCUUUGAUUAAGUGAAAAUAAGAUUGAAUUGUUAAGUAAAGUUAGGAAAAUUCUUUAUUACCAUUGGAAGAAGAAGCAGGGCAUAUGCAUGUUUGAACACAGACAUGCUACGCUUUGGGUUCUAACAGUGUGCCUUUGCCAAUCUACUGUAUUCAUACACUUUUUAAGAGAGGUCUGUCUCAGAAUGUCUUACAGUUUAUGCAUCAUUCAUAGCUUUUAUGCAGUAUUCAUCUUUUUAGUUAAAACUUUCUAAUGCACAUGGCACCCAAGUACACAGAGUAGCAAUUCUUAUAUUGUUAACACACACACACUCACUCACACUUUCAUGGUUCUGGAUGUUGGAAAAAGUUCUAUUGCCUGAUAUUUGUAACUAUGUGAGUUAUCUAAAGAAUGUCUAAUAUACAUAAAUAUGAGCAUCUGGAAAUCAAACUCAAAGCCUAAAAGAAGGGAUGCUAUAAAUCAAGAGAAACAGCAUUAUAAAAUUAUUUUGUUUACAGAUAACAAAGUAACCAUAAACAAUCUGAUUGCAUAUGGGGCCUGUUCCUGUCCUAUAUCAAUAUAGUAUGUAGUUUUACUCAUACUCAUUUGUAUACCCAUGUGUCCUUUCUUCUCUGUUAGUAUUCAUUGUAUAUUUUAGUUUUACAGAUUGUAGUUCUUUUGAACUGUUGGCUCGUUUUAUAGACUGUUUACUGAAACUGAGACAUGAAAUUGUAUGUAUGGAACUGAAACUGGGACAUGAAAUUGUAUGGAACAUUUUUUAAAAGGAAAAUUACAAGGUAAAAUAAGUAUAGUAGCUCUAAAUUCCUGUUGCCUGUAACAACACAUAGUGAGGUCCAUGAAAUCUGACUGCUCAACUGGCUGAACAUUUCAAAUCUUAAUUUAGCGUCUAUUGCCCCUUGCUGGUUUUCAGAUUAUUCCAUUAACCUUUUGACUAGUGAGUGGGGAAAAAAAUCUCCCAAGGUUAUUUCAUUUUGAUCUUAGCAAAAUUGUUUAUGCCAUGGUACAUUGCACCAAUUUAUAAUAUAAUUUUACAGUCCUCACUUGGUACUCUAUGUUUGUGUUAUAAAAUAUCUUGUUUGCAAUUCUGGUGGGUCAUAUAUUCAGUUUUCCUGAAUUGCUCAUAAGAUAUUAUAAUAGAAAGAGAGAGACACUUGGAGUUCCUCACAAAUUUUUAACAAGACUUAAAUCCUGGUACAUUAAUGGACACAUUGUAACAAAAGAUAAACUGUUUUCCUUC
Molecule: RNA transcript, 4053 nt
Organism: Dermochelys coriacea (leatherback sea turtle)
Lineage: Eukaryota; Metazoa; Chordata; Testudines; Dermochelyidae
Gene: LYRM2
Gene name: LYR motif containing 2
Exons: 5
Source: RefSeq, a predicted model, not a curated record